GCCCUCAGGAGGGGGAUAACGGCUGGAAACGGCCGCUAAUACCCCAUAUGCCGCGAGGUGAAAUGAAUUUCGCCUGAGGAUGAGCUCGCGUCUGAUUAGCUAGUUGGUGGGGUAAAGGCCUACCAAGGCGACGAUCAGUAGCUGGUCUGAGAGGAUGAUCAGCCACGCUGGGACUGAGACACGGCCCAGACUCCUACGGGAGGCAGCAGUGGGGAAUUUUCCGCAAUGGGCGAAAGCCUGACGGAGCAACGCCGCGUGAGGGAUGAAGGCCUCUGGGCUGUAAACCUCUUUUCUCAAGGAAGAAGACCUGACGGUACUUGAGGAAUAAGCCACGGCUAAUUCCGUGCCAGCAGCCGCGGUAAUACGGAAAUGGCGAGCGUUAUCCGGAAUUAUUGGGCGUAAAGCGUCCGCAGGCGGCCCUGUAAGUCUGUCGUUAAAGCGUGGAGCUUAACUCCAUUUAAGCGAUGGAAACUACAGGGCUUGAGUGUGGUAGGGC
RNAcentral lists this ribosomal RNA (496 nucleotides) under uncultured bacterium. Its description in RNAcentral is "bacterial SSU rRNA". It matches the Rfam family "Bacterial small subunit ribosomal RNA", at positions 128 to 657 of the family's 1533-position model. The record is from RNAcentral.